UUGUCUUUGUGCGAGCUUCUGCAGGUCCCUUUCAGCCUUGAAGAUCCAUAUUACAAGGGGCUUGAGCUGGAUGUGAUGUCUCCAUGUGAGAAGCACGGCAUGGCAUCUGAGAGGCUUGUUGCCUUUGAAGGAACAGACACAGGCAGGCGGUUUUUAGCAUGUGCACAGCCGGCAGGUAGCAAUUGUGGCUUUGUUGAAUGGGUUGAUCACCAGUGGCCCCCAACAAUGCAGAAUGCAUUGUUGAAGCUAUGGGCAAUGGUUGAAGAUGCCAAAACUGCUAGGGUGAAUGACAAUCUUGAAAGUUUUUUCACUAUCCACCAUCUGACAGAAGAGAAGAACAAGCUGGAUGCCAACUAUGACAAGCUAGUCCAAGAUGUGCAUGAGCUGAUGAACUUCCAGGAAGAUAAGGUGGUGGAUUUCAGACAUCUGCAGUCUGCCAUUACAUAUCAGCAGGAGGUAAGAAAAGAACUGAUUGAUGAUAUGAAGGCACAGAUGGCAAGUGAGAUGGCAAAGAAAGAUGAAGAGACCCAGAAACUUACUCUGAAGUAUGAGCUGCUGCUCAACCUGACAAGAGCUCAAGCAAUAGUCAUUCAAAACUUGAAGUUGAACAAAAUGAAAGAGAAGCAAGUGCUUACUGAAGCUAGUAUGAAUUUGGAGCUGAAGAAUGCAGAGCUAACAAAAUGUCAGGAGAAGCUCACCCAAGAGAAGCUAGAGUUGAAGCUUCAGGUUGCUGAUCUGCUUAAGGGAAAUGAAAAGCAUAUUGAAGAGAAGUGGCAGUUAGAGUUUCAGAAUGAAAAGUUGAAGGAGAAGUUCAGGGGGAUUCAGGCCAUCUUGGAGAAGUGA
This 843-nucleotide ribosomal RNA is filed under the name Triticum aestivum (bread wheat). Its description in RNAcentral is "partial small subunit ribosomal RNA". Lineage: Eukaryota; Viridiplantae; Streptophyta; Magnoliopsida; Poales; Poaceae. The record is from RNAcentral.